Molecule: ribosomal RNA, 434 nt
Filed under: uncultured Lachnospiraceae bacterium
Lineage: Bacteria; Bacillati; Bacillota; Clostridia; Lachnospirales; Lachnospiraceae
Description: partial 16S ribosomal RNA
Rfam family: Bacterial small subunit ribosomal RNA
Source: RNAcentral
ACGGAAGGCAGCAGUGGGGAAUAUUGGACAAUGGGGGAAACCCUGAUCCAGCGACGCCGCGUGAGUGAAGAAGUAUUUCGGUAUGUAAAGCUCUAUCAGCAAGGAAGAAAAUGACGGUACUUGACUAAGAAGCUCCGGCUAAAUACGUGCCAGCGGCCGCGGUAAUACGUAUGGAGCAAGCGUUAUCCGGAUUUACUGGGUGUAAAGGGAGCGUAGACGGCAAAGCAAGUCUGAAGUGAAAUCCCGGGGCUCAACCCCGGAACUGCUUUGGAAACUGUUUAGCUAGAGUGCAGGAGAGGUAAGCGGAAUUCCUAGUGUAGCGGUGAAAUGCGGAGAUAUUAGGAGGAACACCAGUGGCGAAGGCGGCUUACUGGACUGUAACUGACGUUGAGGCUCGAAAGCGUGGGGAGCAAACAGGAUUAGAUACCCUGGUA